This 473-nucleotide ribosomal RNA is filed under the name uncultured bacterium. RNAcentral describes it as "bacterial SSU rRNA". It matches the Rfam family "Bacterial small subunit ribosomal RNA", at positions 335 to 801 of the family's 1533-position model. The record is from RNAcentral.
ACUCCUACGGGAGGCAGCAGUAGGGAAUCUUCCACAAUGGGCGCAAGCCUGAUGGAGCAACACCGCGUGAGUGAAGAAGGGUUUCGGCUCGUAAAGCUCUGUUGUUAAAGAAGAACACGUAUGAGAGUAACUGUUCAUACGUUGACGGUAUUUAACCAGAAAGUCACGGCUAACUACGUGCCAGCAGCCGCGGUAAUACGUAGGUGGCAAGCGUUAUCCGGAUUUAUUGGGCGUAAAGAGAGUGCAGGCGGUUUUCUAAGUCUGAUGUGAAAGCCUUCGGCUUAACCGGAGAAGUGCAUCGGAAACUGGAUAACUUGAGUGCCGAAGAGGGUAGUGGAACUCCAUGUGUAGCGGUGGAAUGCGUAGAUAUAUGGAAGAACACCGGUGGCGAAGGCGGCUACCUGGUCUGCAACUGACGCUGAGACUCGAAAGCAUGGGUAGCGAACAGGAUUAGAUACCCUGGUAGGAUAGCG